UCCGUGCAGGUGUACAGUAGAUACAUUAUGUGGACAGAGUGUAAAUAACAGCAGCUGUGCUUAACCGACUGUUACUGACUGAUGAUAUCCCAUAAAAAUGGCUUUAAACAAACCUGGUCAUAUAGAAGGUAGAUUUAAAGCGAUAGGCACUCCUAUUUAAAACGCCUACUCAGCAUCAUUCCACCCAGUGGGUUUGUUAGAAUGAGAACAAUUAACGAAAGCCACGCUCUCUGGUGAUUAAGCUGUACUUGUUUGCGCGACUGCACUGAAUCCAAUCUGUUUGGAAGCCUCGUUUCCUUUCUCCUCUUUCUGUAAACUCAGUCAGACAAAGACCGGCGCCGCUGUUGCGUUCGGGAGCAUGUAACUCCUGCUAGUUGCCUUCAUAAAACCUGGUAAUGCCCGGCGUUAAUCAGGGGUUUCCGCUGAAUGUGUUUGUGCGACAACAACAGGCUCCGAAAUGUCACCGUUACCGGAUUAUCUGCUGCCUGGAACCCCGUGAUAAUGAUAUAUUGAGCACUGUUUCUGUGUGGGAGCGCUCCCAACCACGCAUGCGCGCGCGAGAAAGGCUAUUUCUAUUUUCCCGGCUCCCCGAAUGCUUCUCUUUGGAGUGUAAACCCUUUUAUUCUGCGGUCUUUAUCAAAUCACGGGGAGACGCGGAGAAGUUGCGACGGAGAAAGACUGCGAAAAGAAAACAAACUUGCCGCGCCUGAAAAGAAGAAAGGCGGCGAGUGAGAAGACGUGCGGGCGGAGAGGACGGGUUCAGAGGGCGAAGCGUCCGCGAGUGGAGCGUUUGUUGUGCGUCCUGUCUGCAGGCUGCUGCAAUAGGAAGGCUCCAUUAACGGCCGACUGCAGCUCAGACAUCCCCGGUCACACAGCAGCCCUCACCGUCAGCGCUCACACACGAAGGGCCCAUUAUGCAAACGCUGUGCUGCAUCGUGCGACUCCAGGGCGCGUAGACGCACACCGAUGAUGUCACAAGCACCCUCCUUUCUGCCAAGUGCUGCAGAGUCCACCUCAUCCCUGAUCACCACUGAGAUAAGGUCUUUGUAUUAUCCCAGGUGGCGUCUCUUCAGCAGCACCGGCGCCUCCAGCCUCAGACGCCGCUCUAGUGUUUUCCUUCCUCGCUUUUCUUCACGUGUUUUAAUAGUUUUAAUAGAGUUUAAUCUAUUAUGAAUGAUGUUUUAAAUUAAACUCUCCGAAUCUAAUUUGUGGGAUUUACAAGUAAUCCCAUCCAAGUUAAGCUAAUUGUGCCUUCUCUUAAAAACUCUUGAACACAGAUUCAUCAGAUUAUCACACUCUAAAGCUACUGUAACCAGAGUUACAGUUAUAUACAAACGCAGAUAGACACAAUAAUCGUUGCUGUGCUGGUGUUUACUUCGAAAAACAGUGAAGCCUUAUCUGAUCCAUAAACAUGACGGAAACGAUGAAGACUAACGUUGUAGGGUGAGUGUGUGUGUGUGUGUGUGUGUGUGUGUGUGUGUGUGUGCGUGCGUGUGUGUGUGUGUGUGUGUGCCCCUGCAGCGCUAGCCUCGUAUUUCCUGUGCUGAAAGUGCUGAGGACGUAGUUCUGCAGCGCUUUCUAGGCCAGAGAGGCACAGAGUGUUCGCCGUAAGUGCAGCUUAGUUAGAAUGCAUAGUGUUUAUCACUCACUCUGCUGCUCUUUCAGCACACACACACACACACACACACACACACACACACACACACACACACACACACACACACACACACACACACACACACACACCAAUAUUUGUUGUACAGCAAAGACAACUUAGAGCCUCAAUAAAAGGUUGUGUUUUAGGAUCUGUAAUUGCAACUUGUAAAUAAUUUUAUUGAUACAAAUUAUCAGUCAUUAUUUUUAAGCAUAAAAGGUGUAAUUGUGUACUUUAGACAUUCAAAACACACAUUGUUCAGUAAAAUAGUCUCACCCCAAUAUUUUCUACGGCUGCCUCGACAAUUGUCUUUUCUCUCUCACUCUCAGUAUAAACUGCAAUUAUAGCAGUCGACUAACGACCAAGCGGUGUUUUUACAGAAUCCUUUUGAACAAAGCCCUGUUCUGUUAAGCGCAGUGAGUCAUGGAGCAGACACGACCUGAAGCUGCGCCACCAGCAGAUGCAGGGAAGCCGACGCCUCAAACAACGCUGGCUCUCAGUUCUCAGGAGACUCGACUGAUUCCUGUUACAAACAAGACGGUGGAAAACCUCAAGAAUGGCUUUAAAAAAAUAAAAAUAUGAUCUCCUUCCACAAAAUAGGAAGGGUAAACUCAACUGAGGUGACUGAGGCCAUGUUCAGACUAACUUUAGCCCAUUUGUGAACUUGUACAGUAUUUGUGGGUCACAACCAGCCUCUCCUCUUGUAUUAACUGUAAUGGUUGUCCACUCCCGGGUUCUUCUGGAUCUUUGCAGCAAAGGUUGUUUCACGUCCCCAGGGCCCCUGUCUGAAGUAUUUUGGAAUCUUAAGCUGAAAAGCAUUUCCUGGCUGUAGCUUACCUGUGGAAAACCUGCUACUUGGAUCCAUAAUUUAAAUGUUCCAGACAUUUCAUACAGUAGACAACCUUCUGUUCUUUCUGGUACUGCUGGACUGGCUAACACCAAUCUGAGAGCGGUCCCAGUAGCACAGAGUAAAUCACAUCCCCAUCAUUACAUGUCUUCCUCUGUGUUCUCUGUCCCAUUUCCUUCACUCUUUUACUAUAUUUCAUAUUUUUCAUAUUUCCCUUCUCACUCCAUCUCUCUUCUCCGCAUCCUCCUUUGUGUCGAUGGUGAUUUCUCCAUCUUCUUCUUCUGUCAGUCGUAUCUUCUUGUCUUGCUCUCUGCCUGUCAGUCGGUCGUUCCCUGGAGGCACACUAGGUUUCUAAGGAAACUAUUUCAGACAACAGUCAAUAAAGCCACUGAAUGAUAGAGCGAGAGAGAGAAAGAGAGAGAGAGAGAGAGGAGGAGGAUAGAGCUGAGGACGUGCAGACAGAGAGAAGGAGAAAUGAGGCAAAAGAGCAUCAUAGGGAACAUAUGACACACAGUACAAGAGAUGAGUGAGAUGAGGAACACCAGCAGAGCAUUUAGCAGAGAAGUCAUAGGUUUGGGUUUAGUACACUGCAUAUUUACUGUAACAGCUUAGGAGUCAGUGGAUCAUCUAGGGCCGAACUUCACACAUUUGUUGUAGAUGUGUCUUCAGAAUCUAUUUUAAAUGAUGCUACUUAUCAUGAGCCAGUGGAAUGAAUGUGGUGUGACUUAAAGCUUAAUGCAGCUCAGAAGUUCACGGCAGAUCAUUAUCGUAAUGCACAUUUUGUUCACAUUUAAAGCCUUUGUUAUUACUGUACUGGUACAUUGACAAAUAGUCUGAAUUCUAUUGCAUGACACUGAUUCCAUAUUUUUUCACAUUUAAACAGUAAACAAACUGCAGUAAAUAAAAUCAGUUAAACAUGGACCAGGCCUCAGGUUUCAGGUGUAGCUCUUCGAUUAACCCAGUCUGUCUGCACUUGUGUUCAUUACCACAAUAAUGAAGGGACCAAAGGAUGUUAUUAUGGGAUAUUUUAUUGAUGGUGAGACA
Long non-coding RNA from Betta splendens (Siamese fighting fish), 3545 nucleotides. RefSeq lists it as uncharacterized. The record is from RefSeq and is a predicted model, not a curated record. Lineage: Eukaryota; Metazoa; Chordata; Actinopteri; Anabantiformes; Osphronemidae. The transcript has 3 exons.